Molecule: unclassified non-coding RNA, 342 nt
Filed under: fungal sp.
Lineage: Eukaryota; Fungi
Description: partial internal transcribed spacer region
Source: RNAcentral
AAGUCGUAACAAGGUUUCCGUAGGAACCUGCGGAAGGAUCAACGUUAAACCCCCCGUGAACCUUUGUUGUGCUCGUCUGCCUGUUGGAAAGCGGCAAUCCCUGGUAGAUCAUCGCCGAACAGUUUUGAUUCAGGGACUUCCGCGGAGCGAGGAAAACGAGGUGAGACAAGUGGUCUGGCAUCCCUCUGGUUGUUAGUGUCUGACAGUGUCACGGAUGGCAGUAACGAUCGCUAGAGACCGACACGGCCGGCGACCGGACCGCCGGGCUAUACACUCCUUUAUCACCUUUGCAUGAAAACGGGCCUAACCGAACAACUGUUAACAAUGGAUAUCUUGGUUCUC